GACGAACGCUGGCGGCGUGCUUAACACAUGCAAGUCGAACGGAAAGGCCCUGCUUUUGUGGGGUGCUCGAGUGGCGAACGGGUGAGUAACACGUGAGUAACCUGCCCUUGACUUUGGGAUAACUUCAGGAAACUGGGGCUAAUACCGGAUAGGAGCUCCUGCUGCAUGGUGGGGGUUGGAAAGUUUCGGCGGUUGGGGAUGGACUCGCGGCUUAUCAGCUUGUUGGUGGGGUAGUGGCUUACCAAGGCUUUGACGGGUAGCCGGCCUGAGAGGGUGACCGGCCACAUUGGGACUGAGAUACGGCCCAGACUCCUACGGGAGGCAGAAGUGGGGAAUAUUGCACAAGGGGCGGAAGCAUGAUGCAGCAACGCCGCGUGCGGGAUGACGGCCUUCGGGUUGUAAACAGAUUUCGCCUGUGACGAAGCGUGAGUGACGGUAAUGGGUAAAGAAGCACCGGCUAACUACGUG
This 468-nucleotide ribosomal RNA is filed under the name uncultured bacterium. Its description in RNAcentral is "partial 16S ribosomal RNA". It matches the Rfam family "Bacterial small subunit ribosomal RNA", at positions 28 to 507 of the family's 1533-position model. The record is from RNAcentral.